Molecule: RNA transcript, 2463 nt
Organism: Sapajus apella (tufted capuchin)
Lineage: Eukaryota; Metazoa; Chordata; Mammalia; Primates; Cebidae
Gene: MLKL
Gene name: mixed lineage kinase domain like pseudokinase
Exons: 13
Source: RefSeq, a predicted model, not a curated record
UCCUACUUUGGUGUCUUCCCUCACACCCUCCCCACCCCGCCAAUAUUAUCCAGCACGGAGAAGCAAAACCAGAAGCUCCUCUCCAACUUGCGGUUCUUCUCUCCACUUGCAGUCCUUCCCACGCUGUGUCCUGAUUCUAACAGUUCCCUGGACUCUAUUCUGAAUCCCCAGAGAGAAGGCCUGGCACUGGGCGGUCGUGGGAGAGAAGGCAGAAGAGCCAGCUUUUUGGAACUGUGCACGGGGCAGAUUGUGCACGAGAAAGAGCGUUUUGGAACUGUGCCUCCGGAGGGGUGAAGGUAUGGAAAAUUUGAAGCAUAUCAUCACCUUUGGCCAGGACAUCUACAAACGGUGUGAAGAGAUGAAAUACUGCAAGAAACAGUGCCAGCGCCUGGGCAACCGUGUCCUCGGCCUGGUCAAGUCUCUGGAGAUGCUCCAGGACCAAGGAAAGAGGAGGGUGCCCUCUGAGAAGUUAACCACAGCCAUGAAACACUUCAAGGCUGCCCUAGAGGAGGCCAAUGGGGAGAUAGACAACUUCAGCAAAAAAUCCAAUAUCUGGAGGUUUCUAACAACAAGCCAGGACAAAAUACUCUUCAAAGAUGUCAACGAGAAACUGAAUGAUGUCUGGAAGGAGCUAUCGCUGUUACUUCAGGUUGAGCAACACCUGUCUGUUUCACACAUAAGCCAAGGGGCAUCCUGGGCACAGGAAGAUCAGCAGGAUGCAGCCGAAGACAGGCGAGCCUUCCAGAUGCUGAGAAGGGAUAAUGAAAACAUAGAAGCUUCGUUGAGACGAUUAGAAAUCGACAUGAAAGAAAUCAAGGAAACUUUGAGGCAGUAUUUACCACCAAAAUGCAUGCAGGAGACCCUGCAAGAGCAAGUCAAGGAGAUCAAGAAGGAGCAGCUUUCAGGAUCCCCAUGGAUUCUGCUAAGUGAAAAUGAAGUCAGCACAGUUUAUAAAGGAGAAUACCACAGAGCUCCAGUAGCCAUAAAAGUAUUCAACAAACCCCGGGCUGGCAGCAUUGUAAUGGUAAGGCAGGCUUUCAAUGAUGAGAUCAAAACCGUGAAGAAAUUUGAAUCUCCCAACAUCCUGCGUAUAUUUGGGAUUUGCAUUAAUGAAACAGUGACUCCGACUCAAUUCUCUAUCGUCAUGGAGUACUGUGAACGCGGGACCCUGAGGGAGCUGUUGGAUCGGGAAGAAGACCUCACACUCGGCAAGCGCAUGGUCCUCAUCCUGGGGGCAGCCCAAGGCCUGUACCGGCUACACCAUUCAGAAGCACCUGAACUCCACAGAAAAAUCAGAAGCUCAAACUUCCUGGUAACUGAAGGCUACCAAGUGAAGCUUGCAGGAUUUGAGUUGAGGAAAACACAGACUUCCAUCAGUUUGAAAGCUACAAGAAAAAAGACAGAGGCAGUCAAAUCUACAGCAUAUAUCUCACCUCAGAAACUGGAAGAUAUAUAUUAUCUAUAUGACAUAAAGUGUGAAAUAUACAGCUUUGGAAUCGUCCUCUGGGAAAUUGCCACUGGAAAGAUCCCGUUUAAAGGCUAUGAUUCUGAUAAGAUCUACGAGCUGGUGGCUGUGAAGCGGCAGCAGGAGCCACUGGGUGAAGACUGCCCUUCAGAGCUGCGGGAGGUCAUUGACGAGUGCCGGGCCCAUGAGCCCUCUGCACGGCCCUCUGUGGAUGGCUCCCUUACAACCUAGGGUCCUCCUGGUAUUAAGGAAUCUAACAACAGAGACUAAUUCACAAUAAAAUAAAUCUUAAAGAAACUCUCCACCUUUACUAAGUAGUAGAUUGAAAUCUAAACCAAGGAGUCCCUGGACAAGAAGCUGGGAGAGGCACACACUGGACAUCUCUCUCUCAUAUCCUUUGGCAUUGAGUUAUUUAUGGGUGCAAGGAGUGUGCGCACUUCUCUGUUACAAAUAGAAAACAAUUCCAGUCAUACAGGACAUAUCCCACUUCAAAUGAUAUUUCCAAAAAUACAGCUCUGACAGUAGCUUUGAUAGAUGGUUUGUUAAAUGUAUCUUUCUGGGUGUCCAUACCUUUUAACAAUGUAAUUUGCAGCUCCUCCCAUCCAUAAAUGAAGUCUGUUUUCCCACCCUUGAAUCUGGGCUGGCAUUGUGACUUGAUUUAUCAUUAGAAUAUGGAAGAAGUGACUGUGUGCCAGUUCCAAGCCUAGGCUUCAAGAGGCCUUAUAAAUGUCUGUUGGAACCUUACCCAGCCAUGAACAGGUUGAGCGAGCAUGCUGGAGAAUGAGAGACCACAUGAAGCAGAAACAUGCUUUCCUAGCUGAAAUCAUACUAGACCAACCAAUAUGGCAGCUAACACAGUUACGUGAAUGAGAUCAAUCAAGACCAGAAGAACCACUCAAGCAGAGCCCAAUCCAAAUUGCCCAUUCAAACAGUCAGGAGCUAAAUAAAUUAUUGUUGUCUUAACACUAAGUUUUGGGGUGCUUUGUUACACAAUAAAA